Molecule: ribosomal RNA, 930 nt
Filed under: Triticum aestivum (bread wheat)
Lineage: Eukaryota; Viridiplantae; Streptophyta; Magnoliopsida; Poales; Poaceae
Description: partial small subunit ribosomal RNA
Source: RNAcentral
AUGGGGCUCCUGGAGCUCUUCAUCACGGCAUGCAUGCCCGUCCUCAACAUGCUCCUGGUUACUGGUGUUGGAUCAUUCUUGGCAACGGACUCCGUUGGGAUACUGGGGAAAGAAGCAAGGAAACACCUAAACUAUGUAGUAUUUUAUGUAUUCAAUCCAGCUCUUAUCGCAACCUAUCUGGCCAAAACGAUCACCAUGGAAAGCAUGGCCAGAUUGUGGUUCAUGCCGGUGAAUGUGUUCUUCACUUUCAUCUUCGGGUUGAUCUUCGGUUGGAUCGUCAUAAAAGUCACCGGGGCUCCCCUGAAGUUAAGGGGCCUCAUUUUGGGUUGCUGUUCUGCUGGCAAUCUGGGCAACAUUUUCCUCAUCAUCAUACCAGCUCUCUGCAAAGAGAAGGGGAGCCCGUUCGGCGCACCUGAUGUUUGUCAGACUUAUGGACUAGCGUAUUCGUCACUCUCAUUGGCUAUUGUCGGGUUUAUAAUUGGAGGAACACCUCUUAUUAGAAAUGCUCUGAUCGGCGACGAUGCCCCUCUUCGUGUCCUUCGUGAGUCCGGUGAACUAAUUGGCGGAGCAGCCGUUCCAUCCGUCACGUUGAUCAUGGGAGGGAACCUCAUCACAGGGUUACGCGGAACGGCGAGUGUCCCGCCGUCGGUGAUCGCCGGCGUCGUGCUUGUCAGGUUUGUGCUGCUGCCUCUGGUGGGCACCGCGCUGGUGAAGGCCGCGGUCCGCUACGGCGUCAUCCGGCCAGACCCGCUGUACCAGUUCGUCCUCCUGCUGCAGUACGCCGUCCCGCCCGCCAUGAACAUCGGGACGAUCACGCAGCUGUUCGGCGUGGGGGAGAGCGAGUGCUCGGUGAUCUUCGUGUGGGUGUACGCGCUCGCCUCGGUGGCCGUCACCAUGUGGUCCGCGUUUUUCAUGUGGACGCUCUCGUGA